This 545-nucleotide ribosomal RNA is filed under the name uncultured bacterium. RNAcentral's name for it is "bacterial SSU rRNA". It matches the Rfam family "Bacterial small subunit ribosomal RNA", at positions 28 to 545 of the family's 1533-position model. The record is from RNAcentral.
GACGAACGCUGGCGGCGUGCCUAAUACAUGCAAGUCGAACGCUUUUUCUUUCACCGGAGCUUGCUCCACCGAAAGAAAAAGAGUGGCGAACGGGUGAGUAACACGUGGGUAACCUGCCCAUCAGAAGGGGAUAACACUUGGAAACAGGUGCUAAUACCGUAUAACACUAUUUUCCGCAUGGAAGAAAGUUGAAAGGCGCUUUUGCGUCACUGAUGGAUGGACCCGCGGUGCAUUAGCUAGUUGGUGAGGUAACGGCUCACCAAGGCCACGAUGCAUAGCCGACCUGAGAGGGUGAUCGGCCACACUGGGACUGAGACACGGCCCAGACUCCUACGGGAGGCAGCAGUAGGGAAUCUUCGGCAAUGGACGAAAGUCUGACCGAGCAACGCCGCGUGAGUGAAGAAGGUUUUCGGAUCGUAAAACUCUGUUGUUAGAGAAGAACAAGGAUGAGAGUAGAACGUUCAUCCCUUGACGGUAUCUAACCAGAAAGCCACGGCUAACUACGUGCCAGCAGCCGCGGUAAUACGUAGGUGGCAAGCGUUGUC